Molecule: unclassified non-coding RNA, 240 nt
Filed under: soil metagenome
Description: partial contains 5.8S ribosomal RNA, internal transcribed spacer 2, and large subunit ribosomal RNA
Source: RNAcentral
AACCAUUCUCACCUGCGGCUAGACCUGCGGAGGGAUCAUUAACAAAUUGUCCACCACAAAUGGAUAAUUUUAUCCUUAUCCACCUUGUGUGAAUCAUUGACGUGUUUGUUGGCAGGUUACGGCUGUUCCCAUUGGAGAGCCCCGGAGGGUUUAUUGAUAGCUCGGCCUGCCAAUUUUAUUAUGUUUUAACUUGUCUAAAUAUUACUGGUCUGAAAUACAUUUAUUGAUAAUAAAUACAAC